RNAcentral lists this ribosomal RNA (254 nucleotides) under uncultured bacterium. Its description in RNAcentral is "partial 16S ribosomal RNA". It matches the Rfam family "Bacterial small subunit ribosomal RNA", at positions 524 to 776 of the family's 1533-position model. The record is from RNAcentral.
UACAGAGGUCCCAAGCGUUGUUCGGAUUUACUGGGCGUAAAGGGCGCGUAGGCGGCCACCGCAAGUCGACUGUGAAAUCUCCGGGCUUAACCCGGAAAGGUCAGCCGAUACUGCGGGGCUAGAGUGCAGAAGGGGCAACUGGAAUUCUCGGUGUAGCGGUGAAAUGCGUAGAUAUCGAGAGGAACACCUGCGGCGAAGGCGGGUUGCUGGGCUGACACUGACGCUGAGGCGCGAAAGCUAGGGGAGCGAAUGGG